Molecule: RNA transcript, 422 nt
Organism: Danaus plexippus (monarch butterfly)
Lineage: Eukaryota; Metazoa; Arthropoda; Insecta; Lepidoptera; Nymphalidae
Gene name: protein PET117 homolog, mitochondrial
Exons: 2
Source: RefSeq, a predicted model, not a curated record
UGACAUCAAAGUACAAGACUUGUCAUUUUUAGACUGACAUGAACUGUCAAAUAGAAAAAUUUAUCGGAGAAAAUUUUAACUUCAAAAUAUUGUCUUCUAUUUUGAAGGAUACUAACAUAAUGUUAAUAAAAUUAUGUCGUCAAUAACAUCAAAGAUUGUUCUAGGAUUAUCAUGUGUUUUAACAGCCGCCACGGUAACCUAUGUACAUGUAAAACAACAGGGACAAAAUGCAUGAAGGUGUUAUAAAAGAUGUAGAACGGCAGCAGAAAAGAAAAAUUGAAAAUCUUUAUUUAAUAGAAAAGCAAAAUGAAUUUGCAAAACAACUUAAAAGGGAUUUAGAAAAAUCAUAAACUAUGAGAUCAAUUGUUACUGUAAUACUAUUUAUUAUAAGUAAAUUAAUAAAAUUACAUUUGUUUUAAUUA